RNAcentral lists this transfer RNA (72 nucleotides) under Arborophila brunneopectus (bar-backed partridge). RNAcentral describes it as "tRNA-Arg". The record is from RNAcentral. Lineage: Eukaryota; Metazoa; Chordata; Aves; Galliformes; Phasianidae.
AACAGAAAGUUAGUCUAAUCAAGACAGCUGGUUUCGACCCAGCAAAUUAUAGCCCACACCUAUAACUUUCUC